GACGAACCGUGCGAACGUUGUUCGGAAUCACUGGGCUUAAAGGGCGCGUAGGCGGGCGGCCGCGUCCGGGGUGAAAUCCCACGGCUCAACCGGGGAACGGCCUCGGAUACGGGCGGCCUCGAGGGGGGUAGGGGCAUCUGGAACUGUGAGUGGAGCGGUGAAAUGCGUUGAUAUUCACAGGAACUCCGGUGGCGAAGGCGAGGUGCUGGACCCCAUCUGACGCUGAGGCGCGAAAGCCAGGGGAGCGAACGGG
Molecule: ribosomal RNA, 253 nt
Filed under: uncultured bacterium
Lineage: Bacteria
Description: partial 16S ribosomal RNA
Rfam family: Bacterial small subunit ribosomal RNA
Source: RNAcentral